Molecule: ribosomal RNA, 254 nt
Filed under: uncultured bacterium
Lineage: Bacteria
Description: partial 16S ribosomal RNA
Rfam family: Bacterial small subunit ribosomal RNA
Source: RNAcentral
AACGUAGGACGCGAGCGUUAUCCGGAGUUACUGGGCGUAAAGGGCAGGUAGGCGGACCGGCAAGUGAGGUGUGAAAUCUCCCAGGCUCAACCGGGAGGGGGCACCUGAGACUGCCGGACUGGAGGGCAGCAGAGGAGCGUGGAAUUCCGGGUGGAGUAGUGAAAUGCGUAGAGAUCCGGAGGAACACCAGAGGCGAAGGCGGCGCUCUGGGCUGCACCUGACGCUGAACUGCGAAAGCCAGGGGAGCGAACGGG